Molecule: ribosomal RNA, 463 nt
Filed under: Vreelandella stevensii
Lineage: Bacteria; Pseudomonadati; Pseudomonadota; Gammaproteobacteria; Oceanospirillales; Halomonadaceae
Description: partial 16S ribosomal RNA
Rfam family: Bacterial small subunit ribosomal RNA
Source: RNAcentral
CUACGGGUGGCUGCAGUGGGGAAUAUUGGACAAUGGGCGAAAGCCUGAUCCAGCCAUGCCGCGUGUGUGAAGAAGGCCUUCGGGUUGUAAAGCACUUUCAGUGGGGAAGAAAGCCUUGGGGCUAAUACCCUCGAGGAAGGACAUCACCCACAGAAGAAGCACCGGCUAACUCCGUGCCAGCAGCCGCGGUAAUACGGAGGGUGCGAGCGUUAAUCGGAAUUACUGGGCGUAAAGCGCGCGUAGGCGGUCUGAUAAGCCGGUUGUGAAAGCCCCGGGCUCAACCUGGGAAUGGCAUCCGGAACUGUCAGGCUAGAGUGCAGGAGAGGAAGGUAGAAUUCCCGGUGUAGCGGUGAAAUGCGUAGAGAUCGGGAGGAAUACCAGUGGCGAAGGCGGCCUUCUGGACUGACACUGACGCUGAGGUGCGAAAGCGUGGGUAGCAAACAGGAUUAAUACCCUAGUAGUC